Molecule: ribosomal RNA, 253 nt
Filed under: uncultured bacterium
Lineage: Bacteria
Description: partial 16S ribosomal RNA
Rfam family: Bacterial small subunit ribosomal RNA
Source: RNAcentral
UACAGAGGUCUCAAGCGUUGUUCGGAUUCAUUGGGCGUAAAGGGCGUGUAGGCGGCGCCGCAAGUCGGGUGUGAAAUUUCGGAGCUUAACUCCGAAACUGCAUUCGAUACUGCGGUGCUUGAGGGCUGGAGAGGAGACUGGAAUUCAUGGUGUAGCAGUGAAAUGCGUAGAGAUCGUGAGGAAGACCAGUGGCGAAGGCGGGUCUCUGGACAGUUCCUGACGCUGAGACACGAAGGCCAGGGGAGCAAACGGG